This 450-nucleotide ribosomal RNA is filed under the name uncultured bacterium. Its description in RNAcentral is "bacterial SSU rRNA". It matches the Rfam family "Bacterial small subunit ribosomal RNA", at positions 355 to 796 of the family's 1533-position model. The record is from RNAcentral.
UAGGGAAUCUUCGGCAAUGGACGAAAGUCUGACCGAGCAACGCCGCGUGAGUGAAGAAGGUUUUCGGAUCGUAAAGCUCUGUUGUAGGGGAAGAACGGGUUGUAGGCGAAUAGGCUAUAACUAUGACGGUACCCUAUUAGAAAGCCACGGCUAACUACGUGCCAGCAGCCGCGGUAAUACGUAGGUGGCAAGCGUUGUCCGGAAUUAUUGGGCGUAAAGCGCGCGCAGGCGGUUAAAUAAGUCUGAUGUGAAAGCCCCCAGCUCAACUGGGGAGGGUCAUUGGAAACUGUAUAACUUGAGUGCAGAAGAGAAGAGUGGAAUUCCACGUGUAGCGGUGAAAUGCGUAGAGAUGUGGAGGAACACCAGUGGCGAAGGCGACUCUUUGGUCUGUAACUGACGCUGAGGCGCGAAAGCGUGGGGAGCAAACAGGAUUAGAUACCCCCGUAGUCC